UACGGGGGGGGCAAGCGUUGUUCGGAAUUACUGGGCGUAAAGGGCUCGUAGGCGGCCAACUAAGUCGAACGUGAAAUCCCCCGGCUUAACCGGGGAACUGCGUCCGAUACUGGAUGGCUUGAAUCCGGGAGAGGGAUGCGGAAGUCCAGGUGUAGCGGUGAAAUGCGUAGAUAUCUGGAGGAACACCGGUGGCGAAGGCGGCAUCCUGGACCGGUAUUGACGCUGAGGAGCGAAAGCCAGGGGAGCAAACGGG
This 253-nucleotide ribosomal RNA is filed under the name uncultured bacterium. RNAcentral describes it as "partial 16S ribosomal RNA". It matches the Rfam family "Bacterial small subunit ribosomal RNA", at positions 524 to 776 of the family's 1533-position model. The record is from RNAcentral.